UAAGACAGAGGGGGCAGGCGUUGCUCGGAUUUCCUGGGCGUAAAGGGCGCGUAGGCGGCGCAACAAGUCACUUGUGAAAUCUCCGGGCUUAACUCGGAGCGGCCAAGUGAUACUGUCGUGCUAGAGUGCGGAAGGGGCAACUGGAAUUCUCGGUGUAGCGGUGAAAUGCGUAGAUAUCGAGAGGAACACCUGCGGCGAAGGCGGGUUGCUGGGCCGACACUGACGCUGAGGCGCGAAAGCCAGGGGAGCGAACGGGA
RNAcentral lists this ribosomal RNA (257 nucleotides) under uncultured prokaryote. RNAcentral describes it as "partial 16S ribosomal RNA". It matches the Rfam family "Bacterial small subunit ribosomal RNA", at positions 521 to 777 of the family's 1533-position model. The record is from RNAcentral.